GAAAAAAUGAACUACAUGAGGUGCAAGCUAGAGGAAAAAUGAAUGUUAUCUACCUUAUUUUGGAAGAUGCAACUUUAAAGGGAUCCACAUCAAGACUUCUCCUUUUCACUGAAGCAGAACAUGAGAGAAGUUCACUUUCAUCAACAUUGAAGAGUCAUCCUGGAAGCCAAUCUGACAUCUUGAAUGAGUCCAGCGUGAAAAGGGGGAGAGCAAUCUUUGAGAAGAUGUCAUCAGGAAAUGGACAGAACAACCUUGAAGUGGGUCAUCGCAAACGUGUGAGAGGAUUACCAGAAGAGAGUACUCCCAAGGCUGGGAACACAUUGAUGGACUUUGAUGAGACCGUCUCCUUGAAAGAAAAAUUGGCUCUGUAUCAGGCCGCUGUGUCCAAGGCAGAGAGCAGCAACUCCUCUUCUAGUACUCCAGAGAAAACCAAAUCCUCUACUGUGUCUGGG
This is a long non-coding RNA of Gallus gallus (chicken), 452 nucleotides long. The record is from Ensembl. NCBI's taxonomy places the organism in Eukaryota, Metazoa, Chordata, Aves, Galliformes, Phasianidae.